RNAcentral lists this ribosomal RNA (600 nucleotides) under Triticum aestivum (bread wheat). Its description in RNAcentral is "partial small subunit ribosomal RNA". The record is from RNAcentral. Lineage: Eukaryota; Viridiplantae; Streptophyta; Magnoliopsida; Poales; Poaceae.
AUGAACAACAAGGAGUUUUGGGAGAAGCGUCGCCGCAACCCCUAUGCGGUGGACCAAGAACCCACUUUGGUCAACCACUUGUUCUGGAACCGUUUUCAGUUUGCCAUCUACUUUGAUGUGAUCAAGGCCAAGAAGAAUCUGUUUGUUGAUGUUUGCUCCAUUGACACUGAUGCUAUGGAGAAGGACCCAGAGUACUUUGGAGAAGCCCUUCAGAUGUGCACUCAGCUGAACAUUCUCAGGAUCAUGCAGUUUAACAAGGACUUCGAUGCAGAUUUGGUGGCUCAAUUCUAUGCCACCGUCCAUCUUGGAACAGAUGGCGACAGGACUCUGACUUGGAUGACCAAUGGCAAGCUGCUUUCUGUCAAGUGGCGGGCGUUCAUGGAGUUACUUGAUGUGGUGGAUAACGGGCUUGAGACUCCUGUCGGUUUCCAUCCUCACCGCAAUGUUACAUCCACCCACAAGCAAGCCCUUUGGCCCUACUGCACUGUGAAGGUUCACCCUGUCACUAAGAAGAAGACCUACGAGCUGUAUCCGUAUCUGGACAUUCUUCAUCGCAUAUUCCAUGAGACUCUCUUCCCUCGCAUUGGGAAUCUGGAUUAG